Pedobacter kyungheensis is the source of this 380-nucleotide non-coding RNA. Lineage: Bacteria; Pseudomonadati; Bacteroidota; Sphingobacteriia; Sphingobacteriales; Sphingobacteriaceae. The record is from Rfam.
AAUGCAGGUUGUUCUAUCGCUGUCCCGGUUUACCGGGAGAGAGGAAAGUCCGGGCAACGCAGGGCAUCUCGCUUUCUAACGGAAAGGGGUUCAGGAAUGAAAACCUGAAUUACGGAUUAGUGCAACAGAAAAUAUACCGCCCUGGCUUAGGUCGGGGUAAGGGUGAAAACGUGUGGUAAGAGCGCACGAGCGCUGCAGGCGACUGCAGCGGAUUGUAAACCCCGGGAGUUGAAAGACCAAAUAGGCUAACGCACGUAGGGCUGCCCGUCCGAUGUUAGUGGGUAGGUCGUUAGAGAUAAACGGCAACGUUUAUAGUGGAUAAAUGAUAGAAAUCUUGGGCAACCGAGACACAGAACCCGGCUUAUAGACCUGCAUUUUUU